GUAUUAACCCAUUUAGGGUUUUAACACAACAUCGCUUCCUUUGUUCCAGUUUUUUUAUUUCUUUUUUUUCCUUUUUUAUUUUUUUUCCUUUAUUGUAUUAACCCAGUCAGAGAACUAGAGAAGACACCGCGAUUAAGGUUUUAACAAAGCAGCAGUCCCUGCAUUGAAGUGAACGGAGAACGGUGAACCACAGGCGCCUCCACCUCCGUCGAUCGCCGACUGCCGGCCGUCCUCUUCUCCACCAGACACAGACACCAGUCAGCGAUUAAGAUAACAUUUCCAAGUGGGAGGAACGUGUAUGCAUAAACAGUGAAAGAAAGUUUUUCAAAUCUAAAGUCAGUGGAUCUAUUACACCUGCUGUUGGAAUGCUUUUUAAGUCAUUUGAUGAGGCAUUUGCAUUUUAUCAGAGAUAUGCACUUGCUGCAGGUUUUUCUGCAAGAAAAAAUACCUCUUGGAAAAAUGUUGGUGGUUUAAUAAAAAUAAGAUAUAUUGUCUGUUCAAAAGAAGGAUUUCAUGUUAGCAAAGAAAUAGAUUCUGGUUCAGUUGAGAAUAGUAAAAAGAUUGUUAGACGUAAUAGAGGUUCAAAAGAGUUGGAUGCAAUGCUUAUGUGAAACUAAUAUUAGAGAACAAUAAUAUGUUUAAAAUCUACUACUUUGAAGAAGAACAUAAUCAUAUCUUUGUUGAAGAUGAAGAUUUCAUUUCUUGCCGGCUGCCAGAAGUAUCGAUUAUGUGAAAGAAAGUUUUAUAUCUGGAUUGUCUGCAAUCAAUAUUGGACCUGUUAAAGCAUUCAAUAUUAUGAAAACAAUGUAUGGUGGUUUUGGUGAAGUUGGAGCUAGUAAAGUUGAUUGUAAGAAUUAUAGAAGGGAUUUGAAUCUUUACAUCGGAGAGUAUGAUGCAGAAAUGGUAGUUAGGCGUCUUAUUAGGAAGAAAGAAUGUAGUCCUGGUUUCACAUGUGAUUAUGUUAUUGGUGAAGAUAGAAGAUUGAAAGGGCUUUUCUGGGCUGAUGAGCAAUCAAAAAAAAUUAUACAGUGUUUGGUGACAUAUUUGGUUUUGAUGCUACUUAUAAAUCAAACAAGUAUGAUUUGGUUUUUGUACCAUUUACUAGUAUUGAUAAUCAUUUUAGGAAUGUCACAUUUGGUGGUGCAUUACUUGGUUCGAAGACUGCAGAUUCGUAUAGAUGGCUUUUAAGAUGCUUUGUUAAUGCUUUUGGAAAUGAGCCUAAAGUUGUUGUUACUGAUCAAGAUGCUGCAAUGAAGAGAGCUAUUAAGGAUGUACUUCCAAGAAGUAGGCAUAGGUUAUGUAUGUGGCAUAUAUGGGAGAAAUUGAAGACAAAUGUAUUAACUGCGUUUUAUGAUAUAACA
Helianthus annuus (common sunflower) is the source of this 1361-nucleotide RNA transcript. RefSeq lists it as uncharacterized. The record is from RefSeq and is a predicted model, not a curated record. Lineage: Eukaryota; Viridiplantae; Streptophyta; Magnoliopsida; Asterales; Asteraceae. The transcript is spliced from 3 exons.